This 1040-nucleotide unclassified non-coding RNA is filed under the name Hevea brasiliensis (rubber tree). The record is from RNAcentral. Lineage: Eukaryota; Viridiplantae; Streptophyta; Magnoliopsida; Malpighiales; Euphorbiaceae.
CACUAUAGAACUGCAUCAACCAGAUGCCCACCGUCCUAGUUUUCCAAGUCCUUGAAAAAUGGCUUCAAAAGCCUGGCAAACAACUCUGACUAAAACCUCCAGCGUGUUUAUUAAUGAGAUCUGCUUCUGCUAAUGUUAACUUUGGCAACCCAGUAGUCAAGUUGACCAGCAACACAAGCAGAACCUGUGGAACCAUAUGAGCAGAAUUUCUUAACAGCAUUUUCUGCUCCAACGUACUCAUAUACAUCCUCCUCAAAAAUUGGACUUACACUUCUCAAGUCAUCAAGACUUAGAUCCUCAAGCUGACAGUUCUUUGAAACACACAAGGCAACAGACCUUCCAACUAUAUCAUGGGAAGUUCUGAAAGGCAUUCCCUUCUUCACAAGAUAGUCAGCAAGUGUUGUGGCAUCAAGAUGGCCAGCUGGCAAAGCCUUUUUAAUUCUCGCAUGAUUAAAGGUAAUGUUCUGUGCAAAUUCGGCUGAAACUUCAAGCAUCCCUAUAACUGUCUUCACGCUGUCGAAUACAGGUUCCUUAUCUUCCUGCAAAUCACGAUUAUAAGCAAGUGGAAGCCCUUUGCACAAUGUGAGGAGAGUAACCAGGUCUCCAACGACUCUAGCAGACUUUCCUCGAACAAGUUCCAUGGGAUCUGGAUUUUUCUUCUGAGGCAUUAUGCUGCUUCCAGUUGAAACACAAUCACUUGGUGUGAUAAACCCAAACUCCUCUGAUGCCCACAAAACCCAUUCCUCACCCAGCCGAGAAAGAUGAAUGGCUGUGAUGGAAUUAGCGGAAAGAAACUCCAAGACAAAAUCUCGGUCUGAGACAGCAUCAAUACUGUUCCUCAAUGGAGCAGUGAAUCCUAGAGAAUUAGAAGUCAUAAACCUAUCAAUGGGUAGACCAGUGCCAGCCAAUGCACAUGCACCAAGGGGGCAGAAGUUCAGCCUAGCUCUACAAUCGAUCAAACGACCAGCAUCACGAUCAAGCUGCUCAACAUAAGCCAACAGAAGAUGUGGCAAUAAAACAGGCUGCGCCCGUUGCAAAUG